Molecule: transfer RNA, 84 nt
Filed under: bovine gut metagenome
Rfam family: tRNA
About the family: Transfer RNA (tRNA) molecules are approximately 80 nucleotides in length. Their secondary structure includes four short double-helical elements and three loops (D, anti-codon, and T loops).
Source: RNAcentral
GAGAGGUGUCCGAGUGGUUUAAGGAGCCGGUCUUGAAAACCGGUGAUGCCUCACAGCACCGUGGGUUCGAAUCCCACCCUCUCC